RNAcentral lists this small RNA (296 nucleotides) under Candidatus Nitrosocaldus cavascurensis. RNAcentral's name for it is "5_ureB_sRNA". It matches the Rfam family "5' ureB small RNA". The record is from RNAcentral. Lineage: Archaea; Thermoproteati; Nitrososphaerota; Nitrososphaeria; Candidatus Nitrosocaldales; Candidatus Nitrosocaldaceae.
AUGUAGAGCUGUGGGCAUAUGAAGUGUAUAUGCGUAUCUAUAUGACCUGGUGUACAUACUGUAUGCUCUCCUGCAGUAGCCUCUGUACAUGCAGAGACAACCAUGUUAGGAUCUACAUCAUCCAUUAUGUAUGGAUUACCAGCCUUCCCUAUCCCUGCUAUCUUCCCAUCCUUCAUGCCUAUAUCUGCCUUGACUAUGCCUAGAAUGGGAUCGAGUAUCAAUGCAUUGGUUAUCACAUGAUCUAGUGCACCGUGAGCGUUUGUAACCCCUGGUGUCUGUGCCAAACCAUCUCUCAA